RNAcentral lists this unclassified non-coding RNA (375 nucleotides) under Brucella sp. 191011898. RNAcentral describes it as "BASRCI408". Lineage: Bacteria; Pseudomonadati; Pseudomonadota; Alphaproteobacteria; Hyphomicrobiales; Brucellaceae. The record is from RNAcentral.
ACGGCGCACUUCGGCGUGGCGCGCCAGUUCGUCCAGAAGGCCGAGGGCCGGUGUGCGCUUGAGGCUGACGAGCAUCAUCGCCCGAAUGAUAUUGCUGUCGAUCUGGCCGAUAUCGGCCCGGUAGCCGCGAAUGACGCCGCUUUUUUCGAGGUUGGCGACACGCUCGCCGGUGGCGCUGCGGGAAAGGCCGAUGCGGCCAGCCAGUGUCUUCAGCGGAAUGCGCGCUUCCUUGGAGAGGAUAGCCAGAAUCUCGCGAUCUUUCUGAUCCAGUUCCCGCAUGGCCCGUUCUUUCGUGCUGGAGCGCAUCCCGAAAAGUGUGAAACGGUUUUCGGGAUGCGUGUCAAACAAACAGAUAGAGCGCGGAUCUGAUUUACU